This 62-nucleotide transfer RNA is filed under the name Falcolipeurus marginalis. RNAcentral describes it as "tRNA-Ile". The record is from RNAcentral. Lineage: Eukaryota; Metazoa; Arthropoda; Insecta; Psocodea; Philopteridae.
UAUAGGAUGCCUGAGUUUUAAGGGCUAUUUUGAUGGAAUAGAUACGGUUUUUCCUCCUAUAU